RNAcentral lists this long non-coding RNA (875 nucleotides) under Lepisosteus oculatus (spotted gar). Its description in RNAcentral is "lncRNA (ENSLOCG00000022414.1)". The record is from RNAcentral. Lineage: Eukaryota; Metazoa; Chordata; Actinopteri; Semionotiformes; Lepisosteidae.
UCAUCUGGGGUGAAGGGUCCGCGAGGAGCGCCGGGUCUUCCGCUCGCGCUGCCUCCUUCCAGCUGCUCCGACGCCGCAUGUCACUGAGUGAUUCAUUUCGGUUACAAUUUUCAUUCUUUCUCUCUCUCUCUCUCUUUCUUUCAGUGUCUGUGUGUGCCAUAUUUUAACCUGUUGAUUUGGGGAAGUCUGUAAAUUAUGGCCUGGUUCCUAUCAGUACAACAAUGUAAAAAAAAAACCCUCAAUUACCAACUUGAAUGGGUGAAUAAAGGAAGUUUUUGUGUUCACUUUAUUGACUUCCCUGUUUGAUUUACAAUUGUCCAGAUUUGCUCUCUCUUUUGCAACCCGUCGCAAUUCGGUUUAAAGAGCUGCUAACAGCGCAGGCAAUAAAAAUAAGGCGCGUCCUCGAAAUCUGCUUCAUUAAAAGAAAAGAUAGUCAGUCUAAGAGGAGGUUCCAGGCGAGGUAAGGCAUGGCCUCGCGUUUCAAAGGAUCCGGGGGUCUCAGGCGCUCGACUCCCGCUGAGGUGCCCGGACUGGACGGCAGAAAGCGGGGAACGACGAGAGUGAUCUCUGGAGCCAGCGCACCGCCAUUCAGCUCCCUUCAACAGACCAGCAUGGCCUCCAGCCCAGAACAGCAGAGCCGGGGCACAACACGUGGAGCGCCUGCAGGCUGAGCUCCGCUCUUGCAAAACGUCAAUGAGCACCGACUGCUGUGUUCUGUCCUUCAAAAAAGGAAGACUGUGCGUCAGGAAAAAAAAAAUACACGCGCAGCGGUAAUAAAACGAGACUGAAAUUAGCAAGCGGUCUGUGUGGAUAUGAUUCGAGUCGGGUGCAGUUCCGAGACCGAAGGGCGCGCGUUUAUUUCCUCCAGAGCGGUG